AGGUUGUUAUAUCUGUUUGCUUGCUGGCUUAAUUAGGCUCAUUUAGUCUCUAGACGGGCAGAAGGUCGUCCACAGUGUGGAAUUUAAACCAUUGCAACCCAGCUUGAUCAGCAGAGCCUCAGCAUGAGGUCAGUGCAUCUACUCUGUCCUGCCUCCAGGAACUUCUUGAGAAGGGGAAAAUACUAGUGCUUACUGAGUUCUUAAGGAAUUUUUUAAAAGGACCAGAUAUUAUAAUUUCUGUAGAACAACUUUUGUAG
RNAcentral lists this long non-coding RNA (257 nucleotides) under Mus spicilegus (steppe mouse). RNAcentral's name for it is "lncRNA (ENSMSIG00000005967.1)". The record is from RNAcentral. Lineage: Eukaryota; Metazoa; Chordata; Mammalia; Rodentia; Muridae.